CCCUAUGGGCGCAGCUGAUGCAGCACGCCGCGUGAGGGACGACGGCCUUCGGGUUGUAAACCUCUUUUAGCAGGGAAGAAGCGAAAGUGACGGUACCUGCAGAAAAAGCGCCGGCUAACUACGUGCCAGCAGCCGCGGUAAUACGUAGGGCGCAAGCGUUAUCCGGAAUUAUUGGGCGUAAAGAGCUCGUAGGCGGUUUGUCGCGUCUGCUGUGAAAUCCGGAGGCUCAACCUCCGGCCUGCAGUGGGUACGGGCAGACUAGAGUGCGGUAGGGGAGAUUGGAAUUCCUGGUGUAGCGGUGGAAUGCGCAGAUAUCAGGAGGAACACCGAUGGCGAAGGCAGAUCUCUGGGCCGUAACUGACGCUGAGGAGCGAAAGGGUGGGGAGCAAACAGGCUUAGAUACCCUGGUAGUCCACCCCGUAAACGUUGGGAACUAGUUGUGGGGUCCAUUCCACGGAUUCCGUGACGCAGCUAACGCAUUAAGUUCCCCGCCUGGGGAGUACGGCCGCAAGGCUAAAACUCAAAUGAUUUGGACGGGGA
This 540-nucleotide ribosomal RNA is filed under the name Microbacterium sp. RNAcentral's name for it is "bacterial SSU rRNA". It matches the Rfam family "Bacterial small subunit ribosomal RNA", at positions 367 to 919 of the family's 1533-position model. The record is from RNAcentral. Lineage: Bacteria; Bacillati; Actinomycetota; Actinomycetes; Micrococcales; Microbacteriaceae.